CCCCACUGCUAUCGAGGUGGGACUAAGCCAUGCUAGUCGAACGACCCGGACUAUGGCGGGGAGUGGCAGACUGCUCAGUAACACGUAGCUAACCUACCCUCGGGACGGGGAUAACCCCGGGAAACUGGGGCUAAUACCCGAUAGGUGUGGAUUCCUGGAAUGGUGCCAUGCCUAAACGUAAGCACAUCCAUGUUUGUGUGCACGCCCGAGGAUGGGGCUGCGGCCGAUCAGGCAGUUGGUGAGGUAACGGCUCACCAAACCUUUGACCGGUACGGGCCAUGAGAGUGGUAGCCCGGAGAUGGGCACUGAGACAAGGGCCCAGGCCCUACGGGGCGCAGCAGGCGCGAAACCUCCACAAUUCACGAAAGUGAGAUGGGGUUACCUCGAGUGCCGUCUGAAGAAGGCGGCUUUUCCAUGGUGUAACAAGCCGUGGGAAUAAGGGGGGGGCAAGACUGGUGUCAGCCGCCGCGGUAACACCAGCCCCCCGAGUGGUGGGGAUGAUUAUUUGGCCUAAAACGUCCGUAGCCGGCUUUGUAAAUCUCUCGUUAAAUCCAGCGUCCUAAGCGUUGGGCUGCGAGAGACACUGCAGAGCUAGAGGGUGGGAGAGGUCAGCGGUAUUCCUGGGGUAGGGGCGAAAUCCAUUGAUCCCAGGAGGACCACCAGUGGCGAAGGCUGCUGUCCAGAACACGCCUGACGGUCAGGGACGAAAGCUGGGGUAGCGAAUCGGAUUAGAUACCCGAGUAGUCCCAGCCGUAAACGAUGCAGGCUAGGUGUUGGGUCGGCCACGCGCCGCCUCAGUGCCACAGGGAAGCCAUUAAGCCUGCCGCCUGGGGAGUACGGCCGCAAGGCUGAAACUUAAAGGAAUUGGCGGGGGAGCACCACCAGGCGUGAAGCCUGCGGUUU
This 903-nucleotide ribosomal RNA is filed under the name uncultured archaeon. RNAcentral describes it as "bacterial SSU rRNA". It matches the Rfam family "Archaeal small subunit ribosomal RNA", at positions 21 to 903 of the family's 1478-position model. The record is from RNAcentral.